GUUGAUAUUGUCAUGUUAAGCACCUCCUAUUAUGAAUUUGUAACCAUUAAACAGACAUUGAACAAAUCAUGGUCAGAGCUCAUAUUUACACUGCCAGAAUACACUCAGUAAUCCUCAAAAAAAAGUUCAGCAAGUACUCCCUCCGUAAAUAGAUGCUCUAAUAUUUUUCUUUACAGAGGGAGUAUUUAUGAACUUUUUCAAGCAAAAGUGUACUUCUCUUCCAAGAAAUAAAAGAUCAGCAGGCUGCACUGACGUCUCCUCGAUAACACCGGAAGAGCUGGCACUACGUAUGGCAUGGAUGGUCGACGCGCUAGUCAAGUCAAUCUUCUCUCCGGAAGAGAUGGAAGAGAUGCUCUCUCAUCAGCAAGUCAAUGUUCUUGGGAUCGCUCACAGCCACGGGUGAUGGACCCGUACAAUCAUAUGCAGCGGCCAGGAAAAGGAAAGGCAUACAAAACCCGCCGCCGAUUGAGAACCACCACACCUUCAAUACGCGCACGAGACCAUCCGGAGGGCCCUCGAUUUGAUUCCCUGUCUGAACGGAGCCCUGCCCUGUUCUAGCCUACAGCAACCGGCAGCAUCUUCAGCAAUUUCGUUGCCUGCACGCCACACGUUUUUGUUUCCAUUACUUCUCGUAGGGAAGAUGAUAUGAUAUUUAUUUACUACUACGUAGUACUUGCUAAACAUGCGAAUGAACAAAUUGAAAAGCCGCGCUUCAGGAGAAGGGAAAAUAAGUGCAAUAUUACAGGUUUGAACUGGGAGAAUGCUGGAGCGGGGAGAAACGCAACGCGUUUCAGCUGAGCUAGUUCCAGGGAACUUCAGGGAGGAAAUUGGCGUCGAUAGCCGAAAGAUUCGAUUCAUGCCAACUGAGCCUGUAUCUUUGACCUUCCUUU
RNAcentral lists this long non-coding RNA (890 nucleotides) under Triticum aestivum (bread wheat). RNAcentral's name for it is "long non-coding RNA (TAES_LNC000477)". The record is from RNAcentral. Lineage: Eukaryota; Viridiplantae; Streptophyta; Magnoliopsida; Poales; Poaceae.